UUGGAAGUAUAAAGAUUAAGACAUUUACACCAGGAGGGGGAGCAGCGUCAACAGGAACUGCAAGAACUCGAAUAACAAUGAGCUGUGGCUCAUGCAAGGCGAGGAGUCCGCACCUAGUGUUCCUACACGCGCCACAAACUGUGCUCUGUUUUGCCAGGGAGAUACUGCUGGCGGUGGCGCCUCAGACUACAGGGCUGAACAGGACUCAGCCACAGGAACAGCGCUAACCGGGUUGGCUACUGGUUGGACAGGUGAAGGAAGGCAUUACCGGUAUGAUAUGCAAUAAAAGCGGAGAUUGCAGAAGGGACCCCAACAUUUCUGGGAGCCUGUCCUCCAUCAUAUUUUAGGCAGGAGAAGCAGACAGCAGGAAUAGUUGAACCCGACGACGGGAAAAGGCAGUCUAGAUGUAAUUCAAGAGUCGCCAGCAUGGACGGUUCUAUUACCUCAGCGGGGACAUUAGCACAGGGGCAAGGGACCGAGGUGGCCGGGGCAACAACUACUGCCACUGUGAAAAAGGACCCCCGAGUUUCCUUCUCAAAUGCCCCUAGUAGAAAAGCAUCGUCCUCUGUGCAGAACCAACAGAAGAUGAAUUCUGUCUCAUGUUUUAAAUCUGAGGAUAUUUCCCAGGUUGUGACAGAUGAAUGGGAACCAAAUGACAAUCGAACAUACAUGCAGCGGCAAUUUAGUUCCAUGCUUCAGCCUGGAGUUAAUAAAUUUUCACUGCGUAUGUUUGGGAGCCAAAAAGCUGUUGAAAAGGAACAACAGCGCGUCAAAUCGGCCGGUAAUUGGAUUAUUCAUCCAUACAGCGAUUUCAGUCCAAAAGGAGUGCAGCCCUUGUGCCAUCUGGUGCAUGGACAUCCUUUGCCAGUGUGAUCCGAGUGCAAGUGUCAAGUUGUAGAGACUACAACAGAUCGAGCCUGUGGACGGACAGACAUGUGGAGUGACAUGCGAAACACCAGGCUCACCCCAAGAGAAGCAGUGCAUAAUCAACGCCAUCCUCAGCAAGGAGAUAUGCUGGAAAUUAGUUACUCUCUCUAACUCUGGGGGUAUAGGCAGGGAUGACUGGGACCUUCAGCUAGUAAGACACAGGGAGCAAGACAUUAUUUGAACAUCACAGAUAUAAAUUACCACUGUGCCCAUGAUCAAAUUAACUACAUUACUUUAGUUGGCUGCUUUGAACAAAACUUGUAUGUAAUAUAACUAUCAUUUUUCAGGUAUGAGCCAGAUGCAGACAGUGUCGAAGAAUCAAUAGUUUAUUUCUAGUACAGGGGCAGGCAAACAACAGGUCAAAGGGAGGCAGAGGUCAGUAAUCCAGAGAGGGUGCAAAAGGUCCAGAACGGCAGGCAGUCUCAGGGUUUGGGCAGGGGUGUCUCCAGACCAGUGAGGUGGGGCAAGGUAUAGAACGGCAGGCAGGCUCAGUGUCAGGGCAGGCAGAAUGGUCAACACCUUGAAGGACUAGAAAACAGGAGCAAGAACAAACAGGAGCAGGGGAACAAACACUGGUAGGUUUCACGAAACAAAAUGAACUGGCAACAGACAAACAGAGAACACAGUGAUAAAUACACAGGGGAUAAUGGGGAAGAUGGGUGACACCCGGAGGUUGGUGGAGACAAGCACAAAGACAGCUGAAACAGAUCAGGGUGUGACAAUUACCUAUUCUGGGAGCCUAGUGUGUCUGUAUGAACUAUGUGGAAUAAUUUUGGACCAUUGGCUUCCCUGAAAACAGUUGCUGACAAGCGGAGCAAUAGGAGUCUGUCAGACGUUGUCAUGCUGGAUGGGGAUGGUGAUGGAGGCUUUGGUGGUUCACACAACGAAGAAGCUGAUAUCCCUUCCAAUGAUGUGGAGUUGACGUUGGACCUGGUGCCAGGAAGGAUUGUCUUCACAGAGGCAGUAAAACCCUCCUUCCUUCAUAUAGGAAUCCUUAAACUUCACUGUCUCUUCAAUAGUAAGGUCCCUUGCACCAUAGGGACACUUGACCUCCAACACAGCUGUGGUGCCCACCCAGAAUCCCAGACCCCGUGAACAAAAGCCCUCCUGCACAUCCAUCCCUGUAGCCAUUUUAAAUGCCUUGAUGCCCUCCUCUUUGUUACCUGUGCCCCACUUUACAGACACCCAUCCAACGACUGUGAUCUGAGGACCCUUUUUUAGCAGUGAUGGAGUAACACGCUUGGCCCUAACCACUGCUCCAUAAUUUAUGGCUGUCAACCUCCAUCUUCUCAUGGUGUGUCAGUUGGGGUUGGUGCAAUGUCGAACUGUUACCUGCCAUAUAGCUUUCGGCUGCUCCACCAACAGCGCCAUGCCAACCAGGAUGCCGGUUUGCCCGAGGUGCCCUUUUUAAAUUUUAUUUUAUUUUUUACAAUUUCCAGUACAGACAGGAAUGACAGGGAGGGUAGCAGUUGUUAUGGCUCAGGUUCAGGGAGACAUGCCAUUCCACUGAACCUGCCCCAGAGAUGGUUCCUUAGCUACUGAAGAUCCUCCUCUGUGGGCUCUCUGGACAGAGGGUUGUUGUCUUCAGCCAGGUACAGGUCCUCCACUGACUGCACCUCGUUGGGCACGGCUGGCUUCCUCCAUUAGCAUUCCACAUCCGUACGGCUGAAAUUGUGACCCACCAAAAUAGGCUGCAUGGCUACCUGUAUGAGCUCCACGGAGGCAUAGAGGGAAUCACCUGGUCACCUACAGAGACCUGCCAAGAUGGAAGAUGUUAAGUGCCACAUGCCUUUCAAUACAUUCAUUUGAACAUCUUGAAAUACAUUUGUUGUAAAAAAUGUGCUGUAUAAAUAAAGUUUGAUUUGAAUGAUGACAUAUUCUGGUUAAUGAUAAUUGAUUAAGUGUAUCUUUCUUUGUAGAAUGUUGACAGCUGUAUAGAACACAUUGUAUUGCUAAGAUUCUCAAACUUAACUUGAUAGCUACACUCCGAUACAGGAUAAACUUUAUCUCUCAUAUUGGCCCUGACCAAACCAAUAAGUUGCCCCUCACUAUAGCUGUACUUCUACACAUGGUAUCAAGGUAUCAACUGUCCCAGAUGCAGACAGUUGUGAGGUAACAAAAGUUUAUAACAAAAACGGGGGCAGGCAAACGACAGGUCAAUGGCAGGCAGUGGUCAACAAUCCAGAUCAGAGUCCGAAACAGGAGACAAAGGGCUGUGAGACAUAGUUUUAAUCCUAGACACAUGAAAAGUGGGAUGUAUACGGAGGGUACGGGGCAACAGAAGAUGAACAGCAGAAGGGGCUAAUCAUUGUGAGGAUGGGGAAAGGGCCAGUACAAUGGGGGGAAAGUUUGCAGGACUCCACCCGGAGGGGCAGAUCUCAA
Molecule: long non-coding RNA, 3309 nt
Organism: Oncorhynchus keta (chum salmon)
Lineage: Eukaryota; Metazoa; Chordata; Actinopteri; Salmoniformes; Salmonidae
Exons: 4
Source: RefSeq, a predicted model, not a curated record